CUGUUGCUUCGGCGGGGAACCCCCUCGGGGGCGAGCCGCCGGGGACUACUGAACUUCAUGCCUGAGAGUGAUGCAGUCUGAGUCUGAAUAUAAAAUCAGUCAAAACUUUCAACAAUGGAUCUCUUGGUUCCGGCAUCGAUGAAGAACGCAGCGAACUGCGAUAAGUAAUGUGAAUUGCAGAAUUCAGUGAAUCAUCGAGUCUUUGAACGCACAUUGCGCCCCCUGGCAUUCCGGGGGGCAUGCCUGUCCGAGCGUCAUUGCUGCCCAUCAAGCCCGGCUUGUGUGUUGGGUCGUCGUCCCCCCCCGGGGGACGGGCCCGAAAGGCAGCGGCGGCACCGUGUCCGGUCCUCGAGCGUAUGGGGCUUUGUCACCCGCUCGACUAGGGCCGGCCGGGCGCCAGCCGACGUCUCCAACCAUUUUUCUUCAGGUUGACCUCGGAUCAGGUAGGGAUACCCGCUGAACUUAAGCAUAUCAAUAAGCGGAGGAAAAGAAACCAACCGGGAUUGCCUCAGUAACGGCGAGUGAAGCGGCAAGAGCUCAAAUUUGAAAUCUGGCCCCUCCGGGGUCCGAGUUGUAAUUUGCAGAGGAUGCUUCGGGUGCGGCCCCUGUCUAAGUGCCCUGGAACGGGCCGUCAGAGAGGGUGAGAAUCCCGUCUUGGGCAGGGUGCCCGUGCCCGUGUGAAGCUCCUUCGACGAGUCGAGUUGUUUGGGAAUGCAGCUCAAAAUGGGUGGUAAAUUUCAUCUAAAGCUAAAUACCGGCCGGAGACCGAUAGCGCACAAGUAGAGUGAUCGAAAGAUGAAAAGCACUUUGAAAAGAGAGUUAAACAGCACGUGAAAUUGUUGAAAGGGAAGCGCUUGCAACCAGACUCGGCCUCGGGGUUCAGCCAGCAUUCGUGCUGGUGUACUUCCCCGGGGCCGGGCCAGCGUCGGUUUGGGCGGCCGGUCAAAGGC
Molecule: small RNA, 950 nt
Filed under: Aspergillus sydowii
Lineage: Eukaryota; Fungi; Ascomycota; Eurotiomycetes; Eurotiales; Aspergillaceae
Description: eukaryotic LSU rRNA
Rfam family: Eukaryotic large subunit ribosomal RNA (bases 430-950)
Source: RNAcentral